This 256-nucleotide ribosomal RNA is filed under the name uncultured bacterium. RNAcentral describes it as "partial 16S ribosomal RNA". It matches the Rfam family "Bacterial small subunit ribosomal RNA", at positions 524 to 777 of the family's 1533-position model. The record is from RNAcentral.
UACGUAGGGUGCGAGCGUUGUCCGGAUUUAUUGGGCGUAAAGAGCUCGUAGGCGGUUUGUCGCGUCGGCCGUGAAAUCUCCACGCUUAACGUGGAGCGUGCGGUCGAUACGGGCAGACUUGAGUUCGGUAGGGGAGACUGGAAUUCCGUGGUGUAGCGGUGACAUGCGCAGAUAUCAGGAAGAACACCCGUGGCGAAGGCGGCUCUCUGGGACGGUACUGACGGCUGAGACGCGAAAGCGUGGGGAGUGAACAGGG